Long non-coding RNA from Lemur catta (Ring-tailed lemur), 344 nucleotides. RefSeq lists it as uncharacterized. The record is from RefSeq and is a predicted model, not a curated record. The transcript has 2 exons. Lineage: Eukaryota; Metazoa; Chordata; Mammalia; Primates; Lemuridae.
CCUUCCAUAGAUUCUGAAUUUCCUGAGGGGAGAGGAAGAGUAGGGGCAAUGGCUGUGGCACCCUGACUCCAGAAGGCUCCCAGGAGGGACCAAGGGGACACAAGACGGGCCCACACACAGUUACACAGGGCAGAGGAGCCUGCAGCUGCACAACCACGAGAGAAAGGGGAGGCUGAAAAAGCUGAUGGCUAAGAAGAUGGGGUGAGGGGUGCCUGAAGAGGACCCUUCUUCUCAUGUCUGGAAAGCAAAGACUAGAUCCUCACCUCAUACAUAAAACUGAUGAGUUAGAGAGGUAAAUAUAUAAAGGAUUAAAAUAAACCUGGAUUUUUCCAUAUUGGUUUUUU